GACGAACGCUGGCGGCGUGCUUAACACAUGCAAGUCGAACGGAAAGGCCCCGCUUUUGUGGGGUGCUCGAGUGGCGAACGGGUGAGUAACACGUGAGUAACCUGCCCUUGACUUUGGGAUAACUUCAGGAAACUGGGGCUAAUACCGGAUAGGAGCUCCUGCUGCAUGGUGGGGGUUGGAAAGUUUCGGCGGUUGGGGAUGGACUCGCGGCUUAUCAGCUUGUUGGUGGGGUAGUGGCUUACCAAGGCUUUGACGGGUAGCCGGCCUGAGAGGGUGACCGGCCACAUUGGGACUGAGAUACGGCCCAGACUCCUACGGGAGGCAGCAGUGGGGAAUAUUGCACAAUGGGCGGAAGCCUGACGCAGCAACGCCGCGUGCGGGAUGACGGCCUUCGGGUUGUAAACCGCUUUCGCCUGUGACGAAGCGUGAGUGACGGUAAUGGGUAAAGAAGCACCGGCUAACUACGUG
RNAcentral lists this ribosomal RNA (468 nucleotides) under uncultured bacterium. RNAcentral describes it as "partial 16S ribosomal RNA". It matches the Rfam family "Bacterial small subunit ribosomal RNA", at positions 28 to 507 of the family's 1533-position model. The record is from RNAcentral.